This 461-nucleotide ribosomal RNA is filed under the name uncultured bacterium. Its description in RNAcentral is "bacterial SSU rRNA". It matches the Rfam family "Bacterial small subunit ribosomal RNA", at positions 30 to 507 of the family's 1533-position model. The record is from RNAcentral.
AUUGAACGCUGGCGGCAGGCUUAACACAUGCAAGUCGAGCGGAGAUGAGGUGCUUGCACCUUAUCUUAGCGGCGGACGGGUGAGUAAUGCUUAGGAAUCUGCCUAUUAGUGGGGGACAACAUUUCGAAAGGUUAGCUAAUACCGCAUACGCCCUACGGGGGAAAGCAGGGGAUCUUCGGACCUUGCGUUAAUGGAGCGGCUGAUAUCUGAUUAGCUAGUAGGUGAGGUAAAGGCUCACCUAGGCUUCGAUCAGUAGCUGGUUUGAGAGGACGAUCAGACACACUGGAACUGAGACACGGUCCAGACUCCUACGGGAGGCAGCAGUGGGGAAUUUUCCGCAAUGGGCGAAAGCCUGACGGAGCAAUACCGCGUGAGGGAAGACUGCCUAUGGGUUGUAAACCUCUUUUUCAGGGAGGAAUAAAUGACGUGUACCUGAAGAAUAAGCAUCGGCUAACUCCGUG